GGACUGGGUGGAUCACUCCUUAAUCGAAGAUCCCGGCUUCUUCAUAAGCUCCCACACGAAUUGCUUGAUUCACUGGUUAGACGAUUGGGUCUGUAGCUCAGUUGGUUAGAGCGCACCCCUGAUAAGGGUGAGGUCGGCAGUUCGAAUCUGCCCAGACCACCAAUUGUUGGUGUGCUGCGUGAUCCGAUACGGGGCCAUAGCUCAGCUGGGAGAGCGCCUGCUUUGCACGCAGGAGGUCAGGAGUUCGAUCCUCCUUGGCUCCACCAUCUAAACAAUCGUCGAAAGCUCAGAAAUGAAUGUUCGUGAAUGAACAUUGAUUUCUGGUCUUUGCACCAGAACUGUUCUUUAAAAAUUCGGGUAUGUGAUAGAAGUAAGACUGAAUGAUCUCUUUCACUGGUGAUCAUUCAAGUCAAGGUAAAAUUUGCGAGUUCAAAGCGCGAAUUUUCGGCGAAUGUCGUCUUCACAGUAUAACCAGAUUGCUUGGGGUUAUAUA
Molecule: transfer RNA, 493 nt
Filed under: Pseudomonas fluorescens
Lineage: Bacteria; Pseudomonadati; Pseudomonadota; Gammaproteobacteria; Pseudomonadales; Pseudomonadaceae
Description: partial contains 16S ribosomal RNA and 16S-23S ribosomal RNA intergenic spacer
Rfam family: tRNA (bases 191-263)
Source: RNAcentral